UGGCUCAGAUUGAACGCUGGCGGCAGGCCUAACACAUGCAAGUCGAGCGGUAACAGAUUGAUAGCUUGCUAUCAAUGCUGACGAGCGGCGGACGGGUGAGUAAUGCCUGGGAAUAUACCCUGAUGUGGGGGAUAACUAUUGGAAACGAUAGCUAAUACCGCAUAAUCUCUUCGGAGCAAAGAGGGGGACCUUCGGGCCUCUCGCGUCAGGAUUAGCCCAGGUGGGAUUAGCUAGUUGGUGGGGUAAUGGCUCACCAAGGCGACGAUCCCUAGCUGGUCUGAGAGGAUGAUCAGCCACACUGGAACUGAGACACGGUCCAGACUCCUACGGGAGGCAGCAGUGGGGAAUAUUGCACAAUGGGGGAAACCCUGAUGCAGCCAUGCCGCGUGUAUGAAGAAGGCCUUCGGGUUGUAAAGUACUUUCAGUUGUGAGGAAGGCGUUGGAGUUAAUAGCUUCAGCGCUGACG
This 466-nucleotide ribosomal RNA is filed under the name Photobacterium sp. I024An. Its description in RNAcentral is "bacterial SSU rRNA". It matches the Rfam family "Bacterial small subunit ribosomal RNA", at positions 20 to 480 of the family's 1533-position model. The record is from RNAcentral. Lineage: Bacteria; Pseudomonadati; Pseudomonadota; Gammaproteobacteria; Vibrionales; Vibrionaceae.